RNAcentral lists this ribosomal RNA (204 nucleotides) under uncultured bacterium. RNAcentral's name for it is "partial 16S ribosomal RNA". It matches the Rfam family "Bacterial small subunit ribosomal RNA", at positions 292 to 515 of the family's 1533-position model. The record is from RNAcentral.
CUGAGCGGGUGACCGGCCACAUUGGGACUGAGACACGGCCCAAACUCCUACGGGAGGCAGCAGUGGGGAAUAUUGCAUAAUGGGCGAAAGCCUGAUGCAGCGACGCCGCGUGAGCGAAGAAGUAUUUCGGUAUGUAAAGCUCUUCAGCAGGGAAGAUAAUGACGGUACCUGACUAAGAAGCACGGCUAAAUACGUGCCAGCAGC